Molecule: ribosomal RNA, 621 nt
Filed under: Triticum aestivum (bread wheat)
Lineage: Eukaryota; Viridiplantae; Streptophyta; Magnoliopsida; Poales; Poaceae
Description: partial small subunit ribosomal RNA
Source: RNAcentral
AUGGUGGAGCUCGACCUGCAUAAGUUGAUGGCGGAGGCUACGCAGCAGCGGAGCAGCAUCACCACCACGCUCCUUGCGAUCCAGAAGUCACUCGACAAGAUGCAGCCGAUGAUCACCAAGAGGGAGGCGGUGCUGGCCUCCCUCGAGCCUGCUAUCAACGAGCUCCCUGCCCGGCGUCCCAGGGUGGACACGGCGGUGGGCAAGCUGCAGGCGGACGGCGAUAUUCUAGGGCUCCUCGCCAAGAUCGCCACCAGAUCGGUCCCUUCAGGCAGCUCCUCCACCAUGGUGUCCUCAAGGUGUUCGACAGAGUGCCUUAUCCACGCUGAUGACUGGGUGCAACCUAUGUCCGCCAACAGCAAGGAAUCCAACAUCACCCUUGUUGUAGCAGUCGAAAACAACACUGUGGACCCCAUUGCUCCUGUGCCCACCGUGGGUUCGAGGAGCAGCCUGCAGCCAUUACGACGGUUUUACCUACAGCGAGUGAUGCCGAGGAUGUGCGUGAAGUCGUCCUCCCUGCUACUCCGCCACAGCGCACGACGCCUGCUCAACCUCGGCGGCCAUGACGGAGAUGGACUCAGCAACCGUGCUCAAGCUCCUGCCCACUUUGGAGUAUCCUUGUGA